GCUCUCGGCGUGUCUUGACGCUGCUCUGAAGCGGUUUCUUCAGUCAGUCAGUCGGUCGAUCGGACUGACUUCAGACCUGUUUGGUGUCUUUGGUCCGUUUGAACUUCACACCGAAAGACAAACUAGUCCAGAAAGUCUUUGUCCGUCCUCCACCGUGUCAGCGGGACUUCUUGUGAUGUCCGGGUCGUUGUGUAAAACUUUGUACCCGUUCAGCGGGGAGCAGCACCAACAGGGACUGAGCUUCGAGGCGGGGGAGAUCCUCCAGGUGGUCCAGGCUGCUCCCGGAGGCUGGUGGGAGGGAGAGAAGGACGGAGCCCGGGGAUGGUUCCCCUCCAGCUACGUUCAGGUUCUGGAGAGAGCGGCAUCUUUGAGU
This is a long non-coding RNA of Thalassophryne amazonica, 373 nucleotides long. RefSeq lists it as uncharacterized. NCBI's taxonomy places the organism in Eukaryota, Metazoa, Chordata, Actinopteri, Batrachoidiformes, Batrachoididae. The transcript is spliced from 3 exons. The record is from RefSeq and is a predicted model, not a curated record.